This 119-nucleotide ribosomal RNA is filed under the name Pteropus alecto (black flying fox). The record is from RNAcentral. Lineage: Eukaryota; Metazoa; Chordata; Mammalia; Chiroptera; Pteropodidae.
GUGUACAGCCAUGCCACCCUGAACAAGCCUGAUCCCAUCUGAUCUCGGAGGCUAAGCAGGGUCGGGCCUGGUUAGUACCUGGAUGGGAGACCACCUAGGAAGACCAGGUGCUGUGUAGG